This 356-nucleotide ribosomal RNA is filed under the name uncultured eukaryote. Its description in RNAcentral is "bacterial SSU rRNA". It matches the Rfam family "Eukaryotic small subunit ribosomal RNA", at positions 592 to 951 of the family's 1831-position model. The record is from RNAcentral.
CAAUAGCGUAUAUUAAAGUUGUUGCGGUUAAAAAGCUCGUAGUUGGAUUUCUGCCGAGGACGACCGGUCCGCCCUCUGGGUGAGUAUCUGGUUCGGCCUGGGCAUCUUCUUGGAGAACGUAUCUGCACUUGACUGUGUGGUGCGGUAUCCAGGACUUUUACUUUGAGGAAAAUAGAGUGUUCAAAGACAGGCGAUUGCCUUGAAUACAUUAGCAUGGGAUAAUGAAAUAGGACGUUGGUUCUAUUUUGUAUGGUUUACGGACCGACGUAAUGAUUAAUAGGGACAGUUGGGACGAUUUAUAUUCCAUGGUUAGAGGUGAAAUUCUUGGAUUCAUGGAAGAUAAACUACUGCGAAAG